UUGCGUUAGGGAUUGCAGCGAAAAUCCUUUUUGUGGCGAAGUUUACGAGCCAAAAAAAGAUUGCAGCGAAAAGCCCGACCCGCA
This 84-nucleotide small RNA is filed under the name Flavobacterium caeni. Its description in RNAcentral is "Flavo-1 RNA". It matches the Rfam family "Flavo-1 RNA". The record is from RNAcentral. Lineage: Bacteria; Pseudomonadati; Bacteroidota; Flavobacteriia; Flavobacteriales; Flavobacteriaceae.